GAUGAACGCUGGCGGCGUGCUUAACACAUGCAAGUCGAACGGAAAGGCCCAAGCUUGCUUGGGUACUCGAGUGGCGAACGGGUGAGUAACACGUGGGUGAUCUGCCCUGCACUUCGGGAUAAGCCUGGGAAACUGGGUCUAAUACCGGAUAGGACCACUUCUUGGAUGUUGUGGUGGAAAGUUUUUUCGGUGUGGGAUGAGCUCGCGGCCUAUCAGCUUGUUGGUGGGGUAAUGGCCUACCAAGGCGUCGACGGGUAGCCGGCCUGAGAGGGUGUACGGCCACAUUGGGACUGAGAUACGGCCCAGACUCCUAAGGGAGGCAGCAGUGGGGAAUAUUGCACAAUGGGCGCAAGCCUGAUGCAGCGACGCCGCGUGGGGGAUGACGGCCUUCGGGUUGUAAACUCCUUUCGCUAGGGACGAAGCGUUUUGUGACGGUACCUGGAGAAGAAGCACCGGCUAACUACGUG
RNAcentral lists this ribosomal RNA (467 nucleotides) under uncultured bacterium. RNAcentral describes it as "partial 16S ribosomal RNA". It matches the Rfam family "Bacterial small subunit ribosomal RNA", at positions 28 to 507 of the family's 1533-position model. The record is from RNAcentral.